AUUGAACGCUGGCGGCAGGCCUAACACAUGCAAGUCGAGCGGAUGAAGGGAGCUUGCUCCUGGAUUCAGCGGCGGACGGGUGAGUAAUGCCUAGGAAUCUGCCUGGUAGUGGGGGAUAACGUCCGGAAACGGGCGCUAAUACCGCAUACGUCCUGAGGGAGAAAGUGGGGGAUCUUCGGACCUCACGCUAUCAGAUGAGCCUAGGUCGGAUUAGCUAGUUGGUGGGGUAAAGGCCUACCAAGGCGACGAUUCGUAACUGGUCUGAGAGGAUGAUCAGUCACACUGGAACUGAGACACGGUCCAGACUCCUACGGGAGGCAGCAGUGGGGAAUAUUGGACAAUGGGCGAAAGCCUGAUCCAGCCGUGCCGCGUGUGUGAAGAAGGUCUUCGGAUUGUAAAGCACUUUAAGUUGGGAGGAAGGGCAGUAAGUUAAUACCUUGCUGUUUUGACGUUACCAACAGAAUAAGCACCGGCUAACUUCGUG
RNAcentral lists this ribosomal RNA (484 nucleotides) under uncultured bacterium. RNAcentral describes it as "partial 16S ribosomal RNA". It matches the Rfam family "Bacterial small subunit ribosomal RNA", at positions 30 to 507 of the family's 1533-position model. The record is from RNAcentral.